RNAcentral lists this ribosomal RNA (869 nucleotides) under uncultured bacterium. RNAcentral's name for it is "bacterial SSU rRNA". It matches the Rfam family "Bacterial small subunit ribosomal RNA", at positions 8 to 916 of the family's 1533-position model. The record is from RNAcentral.
AGAGUUUGAUCAUGGCUCAGAACGAACGCUGGCGGCAGGCUUUACUCAUGCAAGUUGAACGGGAUGAUACCUUCGGGUGUCGGCGAGUAGCGCACGGGUGCGUAACGCGUAGGAAUAUACCAUAUAGUAGAGAAUAACUAUUAGAAAUGAUAGCUAAUACUCUAUAGUCCCUUCGGGGUAAAGAUUUAUCGCUAUAUGAUUAGCCUGCGUUAGAUUAGCUAGUUGGUGAGGUAAUUGCUCACCAAGGCUACGAUCUAUAGCUGGUCUGAGAGGAUGAUCAGCCACACUGGAACUGAGACACGGUCCAGACUCCUACGGGAGGCAGCAGUGGGGAAUAUUGGACAAUGGGGGCAACCCUGAUCCAGCCAUGCCGCGUGAAUGAAGAAGGCCUUCGGGUUGUAAAGUUCUUUUAAUAGUGAAGAUAAUGACGGUAACUAUAGAAAAAGCACCGGCUAACUCCGUGCCAGCAGCCGCGGUAAUACGGAGGGUGCGAGCGUUGUUCGGAUUUACUGGGCGUAAAGGGUGCGUAGGCGGAUAUUAAGGUCAGAUGUGAAAGCCCAGGGCUCAACCCUGGAACUGCAUUUGAAACCGAAUGUCUGGAGUAUGACAGAGGAUGAUGGAAUUUCUAGUGUAGCAGUGAAAUGCGUAGAUAUUAGAAGGAACACCAGAGGCGAAGGCGAUCAUCUGGGUCAUUACUGACGCUGAGGCACGAAAGUGUGGGUAGCAAACAGGAUUAGAUACCCUGGUAGUCCACACCGUAAACGAUGUAUGCUAGUUGUUGGGAUUUAUUUCUCAGUGACGCAGCUAACGCAAUAAGCAUACCGCCUGGGGACUACGGCCGCAAGGCUAAAACUCAAAGGAAUUGACGG